CGCGGCAAGACGGAGAGACCCCGUGGACCUUUACUAUAGCUUGACACUGCUAUUUGGAUAAAGAUGUGCAGGAUAGGUGGGAGGCUUUGAAGCUAGGACGCCAGUUCUAGCAGAGCCAUUGUUGAGAUACCACUCUUCUUUAUUUGGGUAGCUAACUAGCCUAAGUUAUCCUCAAGUGGGACAAUGUCUGGA
This 192-nucleotide ribosomal RNA is filed under the name Campylobacter coli. Its description in RNAcentral is "partial 23S ribosomal RNA". It matches the Rfam family "Bacterial large subunit ribosomal RNA", at positions 2071 to 2262 of the family's 2925-position model. The record is from RNAcentral. Lineage: Bacteria; Pseudomonadati; Campylobacterota; Epsilonproteobacteria; Campylobacterales; Campylobacteraceae.